GUGCGCGGCCGCCGGCAGCGCUUCUGAGGCUCGGAGAUAAAGAGGUUGUGCCGGGACCGCUUUCCACACAGCAAUUAACAGGAAGAGACCGCACCGAGCAAAUAUUCCAAUUGCCGAUCCAGGAGGUGCCAAUAUGUUUUGCCGUUCCGCGAUUGUGUUCUGGAGGCGGCAGCAGGGCUGCUACACUGAAGGAUGUUUUCUCAAGCAUCAUCCACAGAUGACCACGACACAUGGAGUAUGCUACUGGACUUUCCAGGAGGAAUGGCACUAUCUCUGCUUUUGUUCAAGUGCUUCACACAAAGACCCAGUGGGAAGGGUCUGCAGCUGGCUGCAUUUGAACCCUCGAGCUGGUGCCUGAUGCUGGAGCACAGUAACAGAAGGGGCUCAUGGUGUUGCAUCUUCACACAGCUGAGAAAUGGGAAUAUCUUGUUCUGAGCAGCACCUUGUGGCUCCCAGAGCUGCCAGGAGCUACAAGUGAAAUGUUCCAAACACAGAGUCUUGUGGCAAAUAUCCCAAACAUG
Long non-coding RNA from Corvus hawaiiensis (hawaiian crow), 521 nucleotides. RefSeq lists it as uncharacterized. The record is from RefSeq and is a predicted model, not a curated record. Lineage: Eukaryota; Metazoa; Chordata; Aves; Passeriformes; Corvidae. The transcript is spliced from 3 exons.